UAUGUGCAAUAACUUUAUUUUCAAAAUAAAUUAUAUGCAUAUCUUUAUUAAAAUUAUAAUUAUAAUUAUCCUGUAUUAGCAUAGAUAUAAAAAUUAGAUUUCUACUAGCUACACGUACAAAAUAACAGUCUUUUAAAAUUAAACUAAUUUCUAAUGGUAAUCGCAGAAGAUAGGUCCCGAUGACCACAGCAGCAACUCUUACUCCAU
RNAcentral lists this long non-coding RNA (207 nucleotides) under Elaeis guineensis (African oil palm). Its description in RNAcentral is "long non-coding RNA (EGUI_LNC042549)". Lineage: Eukaryota; Viridiplantae; Streptophyta; Magnoliopsida; Arecales; Arecaceae. The record is from RNAcentral.